GCCCGCCUAGCUCAAUCGGAUAGAGCGUGUGACUUUUAUUCACUCGUGGCGGUUCCUCUGCUUUGGUAAAAAGAUUAUCACAAGGCUGCGAGUUCGACCCUCGCGGUGGGCU
This is a non-coding RNA of Mycena vulgaris, 112 nucleotides long. The record is from the annotation of a GenBank genome assembly. NCBI's taxonomy places the organism in Eukaryota, Fungi, Basidiomycota, Agaricomycetes, Agaricales, Mycenaceae.